CGUGAACCUUUACUAUAGCUUGACACUGAACAUUGAGCCUUGAUGUGUAGGAUAGGUGGGAGGCUUUGAAGUGUGGACGCCAGUCUGCAUGGAGCCGACCUUGAAAUACCACCCUUUAAUGUUUGAUGUUCUAACGUGGGCCCCUUACCGGGGUUGCGGACAGUGUCUGGUGGGUAGUUUGACUGGGGCGGUCUCCUCCUAAAGAGUAACGGAGGAGCACGAAGGUUGGCUAAUCCUGGUCGGACAUCAGGAGGUUAGUGCAAUGGCAUAAGCCAGCUUGACUGCGAGCGUGACGGCGCGAGCAGGUGCGAAAGCAGGUCAUAGUGAUCCGGUGGUUCUGAAUGGAAGGGCCAUCGCUCAACGGAUAAAAGGUACUCCGGGGAUAACAGGCUGAUACCGCCCAAGAGUUCAUAUCGACGGCGGUGUUUGGCACCUCGAUGUCGGCUCAUCACAUCCUGGGGCUGAAGUAGGUCCCAAGGGUAUGGCUGUUCGCCAUUUAAAGUGGUACGCGAGCUGGGUUUAGAACGUCGUGAGACAGUUCGGUCCCUAUCUGCCGUGGGCGCUGGAGAACUGAGGGGGGCUGCUCCUAGUACGAGAGGACCGGAGUGGACGCAUCACUGGUGUUCGGGUUGUCAUGCCAAUGGCACUGCCCGGUAGCUAAAUGCGGAAGAGAUAAGUGCUGAAAGCAUCUAAGCACGAAACUUGCCCCGAGAUGAGUUCUCCCUGACUCCUUGAGAGUCCUGAAGGAACGUUGAAGACGACGACGUUGAUAGGCCGGGUGUGUAAGCGCAGCGAUGCGUUGAGCUAACCGGUACUAAUGAACCGUGAGGCUUAACCUU
This 839-nucleotide ribosomal RNA is filed under the name Escherichia coli. RNAcentral describes it as "partial 23S ribosomal RNA". It matches the Rfam family "Bacterial large subunit ribosomal RNA", at positions 2092 to 2925 of the family's 2925-position model. Lineage: Bacteria; Pseudomonadati; Pseudomonadota; Gammaproteobacteria; Enterobacterales; Enterobacteriaceae. The record is from RNAcentral.